RNAcentral lists this ribosomal RNA (600 nucleotides) under uncultured bacterium. RNAcentral describes it as "bacterial SSU rRNA". It matches the Rfam family "Bacterial small subunit ribosomal RNA", at positions 723 to 1331 of the family's 1533-position model. The record is from RNAcentral.
AGCUUACUGUAUCACAACUGACGCUGAAGCUCGAAGGCGCGGGUAUCGAACAGGAUUAGAUACCCUGGUAGUCCGCGCGGUAAACGAUGGAUGCUCGCUGUUGGGCUUUAUGUUCAGCGGCCAAGCGAAAGCGUUAAGCAUCCCACCUGGGGAGUACGCCGGCAACGGUGAAACUCAAAGGAAUUGACGGGGGCCCGCACAAGCGGAGGAACAUGUGGUUUAAUUCGAUGAUACGCGAGGAACCUUACCCGGGCUUGAACUGCAGCGGAAGGAUACAGAGAUGUUGACGUCCUUCGGGACCGCUGUGGAGGUGCUGCAUGGUUGUCGUCAGCUCGUGCCGUGAGGUGUCGGCUUAAGUGCCAUAACGAGCGCAACCCUUUUCAUUAGUUGCCAUCAGGUCAUGCUGGGCACUCUGAUGAUACUGCCACCGUAAGGUGUGAGGAAGGUGGGGAUGACGUCAAAUCAGCACGGCCUGACGGGCGGUGUGUACACACCUUUUACAAUGGUUGGUACAGAGAGUCGGUCGUCGCAAAUGCGAUCCAAUCCUUAAAGCCAUCCUCAGUUCGGAUUGGGGUCUGCAACCCACCCCACGAAGCGGAU